This 253-nucleotide ribosomal RNA is filed under the name uncultured bacterium. RNAcentral describes it as "partial 16S ribosomal RNA". It matches the Rfam family "Bacterial small subunit ribosomal RNA", at positions 524 to 776 of the family's 1533-position model. The record is from RNAcentral.
UACGUAGGGGGCAAGCGUUAUCCGGAUUUACUGGGUGUAAAGGGGGCGCAGACGGCGAUGCAAGCCAGGAGUGAAAGCCCGGGGCCCAACCCCGGGACUGCUCUUGGAACUGCGUGGCUGGAGUGCAGGAGGGGCGGGCGGAAUUCCUAGUGUAGCGGUGAAAUGCGUAGAUAUUAGGAGGAACACCAGUGGCGAAGGCGGCCUACUGGACGGUGACUGACGCUGAGGCUCGAAAGCGUGGGGAGCAAACAGG